This 555-nucleotide long non-coding RNA is filed under the name Oryctolagus cuniculus (rabbit). RNAcentral describes it as "lncRNA (ENSOCUG00000030875.1)". The record is from RNAcentral. Lineage: Eukaryota; Metazoa; Chordata; Mammalia; Lagomorpha; Leporidae.
GAGAAAAGAAGUAUUGGUCUUGUGAUCCUUGAAGAUAUGAAUAAGAAAAAGCAUGCUGAUUGUCAGUCUAAACUUCACUGCGGAUGGCUUUAUAAUAAGGAGCUAGACAGUCAAGGGGCAGGGAACAGGAUGGAUGGAGGUGAGAUGGGUGUGCAAUUGAGUCAGUUGCUGGGAGUGAGGCCUGAUUUGCUUUCCCAUGGUGUCCUCUGCACAGUGGUCCCAGGUGUUCCUACUUGUGCAUCAAACCUACGGUCAGAGGUUUUAAAGACUUGUUUCAAGCUGAGUUUCCCCUCCAUUUGCUCCUGAGCUAGAUAAGUUGAUAAUUGUCUUUUUGAAGUUCUUUUGUACAGCCCAGAUCUUAACCUAUUUUAUUUCUUAGUUUUGUUUCAUACCACUUUUGGCAACUUUUUGAUGGCCUGCAUUUUCAUUUCUUACUAUCAUGGCAUUAUUUACAUUCUGGACUCACAUUUGCUUUCAGAAAUAGUAGUUCUCAAACUGGGUUGUAUGUUAGAAUCACUUGAAUCCCACUCUUAGAGAUUCAGAUUUAAUUAUCUG